RNAcentral lists this transfer RNA (58 nucleotides) under Monodelphis domestica (gray short-tailed opossum). It matches the Rfam family "tRNA", at positions 8 to 63 of the family's 71-position model. From Rfam's summary of the family: Transfer RNA (tRNA) molecules are approximately 80 nucleotides in length. Their secondary structure includes four short double-helical elements and three loops (D, anti-codon, and T loops). The record is from Rfam by way of RNAcentral. Lineage: Eukaryota; Metazoa; Chordata; Mammalia; Didelphimorphia; Didelphidae.
UGGUGCAAUAGGUAGCACAUCAGUCUUACAAGCUGAAGGUCCUGAGUUCGAACCUUGG